This 423-nucleotide ribosomal RNA is filed under the name Arachnia propionica. RNAcentral describes it as "bacterial SSU rRNA". It matches the Rfam family "Bacterial small subunit ribosomal RNA", at positions 28 to 447 of the family's 1533-position model. The record is from RNAcentral. Lineage: Bacteria; Bacillati; Actinomycetota; Actinomycetes; Propionibacteriales; Propionibacteriaceae.
GACGAACGCUGGCGGUGUGCUUAACACAUGCAAGUCGAACGGUAAGGCCCUUUCGGGGGUACACGAGUGGCGAACGGGUGAGUAACACGUGAAUAACCUGCCCUCAUCUCUGGGAUAACAGUCGGAAACGGUUGCUAAUACUGGAUAUGAGCUUGCAAGGCAUCUUGUGGGUUGGAAAGAUAUUUUUUGGUUGGGGAUGGACUCGCGGCCUAUCAGCUUGUUGGUGAGGUAGUGGCUCACCAAGGCUUCGACGGGUAGCCGGCCUGAGAGGGCGACCGGCCACAUUGGGACUGAGAUACGGCCCAGACUCCUACGGGAGGCAGCAGUGGGGAAUAUUGCACAAUGGACGGAAGUCUGAUGCAGCAACGCCGCGUGCGGGAUGACGGCCUUUCGGGUUGUAAAACCCGCUUUCAAAUUGUGACG